Molecule: ribosomal RNA, 253 nt
Filed under: uncultured bacterium
Lineage: Bacteria
Description: partial 16S ribosomal RNA
Rfam family: Bacterial small subunit ribosomal RNA
Source: RNAcentral
UACGUAGGGUGCAAGCAUUAAUCGGAUUUAUUGGGCGUAAAGGGCGCGCAGGCGGGGAUGCAAGUCAGAUGUGAAAUCCCGGGGCUCAACCCCGGAACAGCAUUUGAAACUACAUCUCUAGAGGGUAGACGGAGAGAACGGAAUUCCACAAGUAGCGGUGAAAUGCGUAGAUAUGUGGAAGAACACCAGUGGCGAAGGCGGUUCUCUAGUUUAUACCUGACGCUGAGGCGCGAAAGCAAGGGGAGCAAACAGG